RNAcentral lists this ribosomal RNA (656 nucleotides) under uncultured bacterium. RNAcentral describes it as "bacterial SSU rRNA". It matches the Rfam family "Bacterial small subunit ribosomal RNA", at positions 28 to 716 of the family's 1533-position model. The record is from RNAcentral.
AAUCAACGCUGGCGGCGCGCUUAACACAUGCAAGUCGAACGAGAAAGUGGAGCAAUCCAUGAGUACAGUGGCGCACUGGUGAGUAACACGUGGGUAAUUUACCUCUUUGUGGGGAAUAACCCUGGGAAACCGGGGAUAAUACCGCAUACGUCCGAGAGGAGAAAGCCGAAAGGCGCAGAGAGAGAAGCCCGCGCCCGAUUAGCUAGUUGGUGAGGUAAAAGCCCACCAAGGCGACGAUCGGUAGCCGGCCUGAGAGGGCACACGGCCACACUGGCACUGAAACACGGGCCAGACUCCUACGGGAGGCAGCAGUGGGGAAUCUUGCACAAUGGGGGAAACCCUGAUGCAGCGACGCCGCGUGAACGAUGAAGCCCUUCGGGGUGUAAAGUUCUUUCGACAGGAACGAUAAUGACGGUACCUGAAGAAGAAGCUGCGGCUAACUACGUGCCAGCAGCCGCGGUAAUACGUAGGCAGCAAGCGUUGUUCGGAAUUACUGGGCGUAAAGAGUGCGUAGGUGGUUGGCUAAGUUUGGUGUGAAAUCUCCCGGCUCAACUGGGAGGGUGCGCCGAAAACUGGCUAGCUAGAGUGUGGGAGAGGGACGUGGAAUUCCUGGUGUAGCGGUGAAAUGCGUAGAUAUCAGGAGGAACACCUGCGGU